This 211-nucleotide ribosomal RNA is filed under the name uncultured bacterium. Its description in RNAcentral is "partial 16S ribosomal RNA". It matches the Rfam family "Bacterial small subunit ribosomal RNA", at positions 524 to 734 of the family's 1533-position model. The record is from RNAcentral.
UACGUAGGUGGCGAGCGUUAUCCGGAUUUAUUGGGUUUAAAGGGUGCGUAGGCGGCUUUUUAAGUCAGUGGUGAAAGCCUGUUGCUUAACAGUAGAAUUGCCAUGGAAACUGAUGAGCUUGAGUAUAGUGGAGGUAGGUGGAAUUGCUAGUGUAGCGGUGAAAUGCGUAGAUAUUAGCAGGAACUCCAGUAGCGUAGGCGGCUUUCUAGGC